RNAcentral lists this small RNA (638 nucleotides) under Hoya vitiensis. RNAcentral describes it as "eukaryotic LSU rRNA". The record is from RNAcentral. Lineage: Eukaryota; Viridiplantae; Streptophyta; Magnoliopsida; Gentianales; Apocynaceae.
CUGCGGAAGGAUCAUUGUCGAAUCCUCAAACGAAAACAUGCGAACACGUUCAAAAAUUUGCGUCGGGCGUGGGGUAAAACCUGCGCCCCUCGCCACCUGCCCGGCCGAACGGCGACCCAACCGGUCUGUCGGUCGCGUCGGGCAACCGAAACAAAAACCGGCGCGGGAAGCGCCAAGGACUUUAUGAAACGGGAUGCCUUCCUUGUGAAAGGGGCCAUUCGGAAUUCUUCGCCACGGGGUAUUACACGAUUUUGGCAACGAAUUUUAGGUUUCGCAUCAAUAAAAAAGUACCAAAUUGCAAUAUUUGUUGUGAAUUGCAAAUCCCGUGAACCUCAAUUUUUAAACCCAAUUGCCCCAAACCCUUAGGCCAAGGGCACUUUUGCUUGGGCUUCACGAAUCGGUCGAAAGGUCGUGGCAAGCGGGGGGCGAAUUGGCUUCCCGUGCCUAGUCGCGGCCAGCCUAAAAAAUGGUUCCCUCGCCGCGGACGUCGCGACAAGUGGUGGUCGUCGAGAUUGAACGCGAGUCGCCGGCAAGCCGCGUCGAGGAGAGCGCUUGGACCCUGUGCACGUGAGUCCCUCGCCGAGGGACGACCGGCACGACCAGCGACCCCAGGUCAGGCGGGGCUACCCGCUGAGUUU